RNAcentral lists this non-coding RNA (185 nucleotides) under Peptoniphilus harei. RNAcentral's name for it is "6S RNA". It matches the Rfam family "6S / SsrS RNA". Rfam says of the family: E. coli 6S RNA was the first non coding RNA to be sequenced, but its function was unknown until recently. The record is from RNAcentral. Lineage: Bacteria; Bacillati; Bacillota; Tissierellia; Tissierellales; Peptoniphilaceae.
UAAAUUCUGCGAUGUUCGAAGAAUGCCUACUUAAUUCAACCGACAAAUUUAACACGGGAAACUGUGUAUCAGCGUCCUAUGACAAGCCGUCUUUGAGCGGAAGUCAGAAUACGCUAUCAAGUUUUUGACCCACCAUGAUAAUUGGCGGGUGUGAAUUAACUAGGUAACGGCAUUGCGGUUUUUAC